UGGGGGCGGGCUAGAAAACAGGCACCAACAGGUGUUGGAGAGGCUACAAAUCAGGCUAACCUGAGUGCUUAGGAUGACAUGGUCUUUCCAUCCUCGGGGCACUGUGGGAAGUUAAACUGCUGAGAGGCAUGCCUGCUUCCUAAAGAGUUGAUGGAUGUUUGAGCCAUUUCGUGACCCCUCUUCGACCCGGGUCACUGUCAAAACUCAGAGGAAGAUAUAUACGAGAGCUCCUGAAACACGACUCCAGGAGACGCGGAGAAGGAAAGAGAGAGAUUUAAAGGACACAAAUGUGUGACCACAAGUGAAAAGCUACACUUUCAGCCACUUUCACAGAUUAAAAUGUCACCGGCUUCCUCGCUAUGAACAAAAAGAGAUGGAUGUUCUUCAUCCACAGUCUGAUGUUCCUCGUCUUCUGUUCCAUUUCUGACAAAGUUGCCUCUUAAAUCAUGAUCGAUAAACAUGACAUUUCUUACAACUCUUACUUGAAUAAUUAUGAUUU
Scophthalmus maximus (turbot) is the source of this 499-nucleotide long non-coding RNA. RefSeq lists it as uncharacterized. NCBI's taxonomy places the organism in Eukaryota, Metazoa, Chordata, Actinopteri, Pleuronectiformes, Scophthalmidae. The record is from RefSeq and is a predicted model, not a curated record. The transcript has 6 exons.